GAAAAUUAAAUAAAAACACAGGAAAAUGGAAUUGAAAUAGAAUGACGUGUUUACCUCGGCGAAACAAUAAGGAUGACUUAUCCACUUAGAGCGGCAGGUUCAGAUCUUAAUAUGUUCUAGAAACACCACAACAUACAACUGAACAAUGCAACACUUACAAUUUGAUAACAAUUAGGGCUGGGCGAUAUGGCCAAAAUCUCAUAUCCCGAUAUAGAUCAGUUUCUGUAAAUUCAAUUUAUAAAUAGUUGAUAUAAAAUGACCACAUGUAAAGGCCUAUUUCUUAUUACAUUUUGAAUUAUACUCAACAAAUAAAAAGGUACUUACUCAUAUUUGAUUAUUUAUUUUAUUUAGAACCUGUGCAAAUUUUCAAUUAAGCAUGAAACAAAAUAUAAAAUAUGAAUGUAUAAAAUCUAAAACGGUCAAUAGAAAACACUUCAACUAUAGUUGCAAACAAAAUAAAUAUAGGCCUAAAAUAUAUAUAUUUUGGGGGGGCUUGCCUGUUUUGCAUGUUAUUUUGUCAUUAAUACGUGUCACAUACCAAUUUGGUACCUUGGGUCAAGUGUCAGCACCAACUCACGAAACCCUCGUUUCUCGACCGUGUAAACUGGGGCCAUGUCUUUGCAGAUGGAAGUUGUAAUGGCAGCUGUUACCUCCUUCCAUCUUCGUGAUUCAUUGCCAUAUAGUGUGCCGUGGGCAAAAGCCUCUUGCAACGAGUCGGGGGUUUGAUUGGAGCACUCGACUGUACUUUGUUGGGUCUCAUCCGUAGACUCUCUCUGUAUUGUUUGACAUGAUGCUUGCGUAGGUGGUAAAAGAGAUUAGUGGUGUUUGAGCCUGUUGUUGGGACCGUGUAGGUGGUAAAAGAGAUUAGUGGUGUUUGAGCCUGUUGUUGGGACCGUGUAGGUGGUAAAAGAGAUUAGUGGUGUUUGAGCCUGUUGUUGGGACCGUGUAGGUGGUAAAAGAGAUUAGUGGUGUUUGAGCCUGUUGUUGGGACCGUGUAGGUGGUAAAAGAGAUUAGUGGUGUUUGAGCCUGUUGUUGGGACCGUGUAGGUGGUAAAAGAGAUUAGUGGUGUUUGAGCCUGUUGUUGGGACCGUGUAGGUGGUAAAAGAGAUUAGUGGUGUUUGAGCCUGUUGUUGGGACCGUGUAGGUGGUAAAAGAGAUUAGUGGUGUUUGAGCCUGUUGUUGGGACCGUGUAGGUGGUAAAAGAGAUUAGUGGUGUUUGAGCCUGUUGUUGGGACCGUGUAGGUGGUAAGAGGUUAGUGGUGUUUGAGCCUGUUGUUGGGACCGUGUAGGUGGUAAGAGGUUAGUGGUGUUUGAGCCUGUUGUUGGGACCGGUCUGCGGUAUAUUUUUCAGUGGACGGUUUUCUGGUCCAUGUCAGACUUUUCAUACCCAAACCACGUCCAUGUGACCGAAGUAGCCCCUCUUUUAGGUACGAGCCCCGUGUCACCGUGCUCUGUGUCACCGUGCUCUGUGUCACGUUCACUCUCCUCCAUGUUUGUUUGUGUUGCAAAUUUCCUUUCUCACAGCACAUGUGGAAGAACACAAAGCUUCGUCCAAUUGGUGAAAAAUAUUGCCGUAAAGAGUGUGAUUUGCAACAACGAAAUAUACAAUAGAGCACAAUAUGAAACGAUAGACGCUUUUCUAUCGUCACACGAUAUAUAUCGUCAUAUCGCCCAGCCCUAAUACUAGCCGAAGCAUAGAGGUAAACAUUGGGAGUGAGGUCUAACUCCAGUUGCUCUGAGCGGCUGUGGGACUGGG
Molecule: long non-coding RNA, 1757 nt
Organism: Oncorhynchus keta (chum salmon)
Lineage: Eukaryota; Metazoa; Chordata; Actinopteri; Salmoniformes; Salmonidae
Exons: 3
Source: RefSeq, a predicted model, not a curated record